Molecule: long non-coding RNA, 654 nt
Organism: Pipistrellus kuhlii (Kuhl's pipistrelle)
Lineage: Eukaryota; Metazoa; Chordata; Mammalia; Chiroptera; Vespertilionidae
Exons: 2
Source: RefSeq, a predicted model, not a curated record
GCCUGUAUCUCUACUUCGUGAUUUGCCAACUUUGGUACCCACUGAUUCCCUGUAAGAUGAGGAACUGAGCUCAUUUAAAUCCCUACCUCUGCUUGAGUUGUUAUAGUCACAUUAUUUUUCUAUCAACUUUCGAAGGUAUCAGAUUACUCCAUCAGAGGAGGAAGUCAGCUCUCCUAUGUGACCUUUCGCCUUCCCGGUCCCUCCCUCCCAUACCGCUUCACAUUUUGUUCACCCUUCACCCCACUCAUACCUAGUUUCCACUCCAUUUAUCCCACCGACGUUGCUGCAAUAAUCAGUGACAACCUAGUUUUCAGAGCCAAUGACUAAUUCUCUGUGAUCUAAUUUUACCUCGCAGCAACGUCUGGCCACUUCCUGUCGUCGUUCGAAACUCUCUCCUUUCGGUCCCUCUCACCCACUCUCUCCUGGCGCGUGUCCCACUGCCCUGGCCACACCUCAGGCCUGCGGGGACCUCUGACUCCCCGUCUGCUCUCUCACUGUCACAGCGCCUGGCAUGGCCAUCCUUCGUCCUUUCACAGACGCCUUAAGAUGUCCUACGCUCAGGCUGGCAACUGCCACCUGCUGCCUGCUCAUGAUGCUCCAAGAACAUCAGAACAGGCCAUAGAUCUACCUCCUGGAUGGCUCUGAUCUCAAAUU